RNAcentral lists this unclassified non-coding RNA (645 nucleotides) under Bombus terrestris (buff-tailed bumblebee). RNAcentral describes it as "misc RNA ENSBTSG00005038601.1". The record is from RNAcentral. Lineage: Eukaryota; Metazoa; Arthropoda; Insecta; Hymenoptera; Apidae.
ACGCUCCUGUUCUGGUAGCGUUCGUCUGCUUACGUCUACUGACUUUUCUCGCUGAAUAAAGUAUAACUGACUUGCUUUAUUUUACUAAAUUUACAUAGUGUCAUGCGAACGUCUGUAUGAUGUAACUAAUCUCUAUUAUGCAUAUGUCUUAGGCAGGGGGCAGACGAGCAGUUUGCUGCAGCGUCAUCGGCGCGAUAAUUUUCCACUGUGUUUUAGAAUACUGCUCGUUUGCACCAGGCAUUAAGAGCGUAUACGUAGCAGACCUCUUUUUCUUCUUCUUUUUUCCCUUUGUCGUCUAAACAACAACAUUUCUACACAUACAACAAUCUGCGCAUACAAUAGACAACACCGAAAUUUUGUUAUAUUUAAUUUUUAGCCAUAACGUGAUAUCACUCCAUCCUACACUCUACAUAUCACUACACAACAAACAACCCCAAUCAAGUAUGCACACUCAUCAUGGCUACCAUAUUUUCAAGACUGAACAGCAUCUAUAAAUAUGUCGAGAUAGUUUGUAAGCAGCUAUAGAUGUACUGUGCCUUCCAGAUCAACGGUUUGCUUUGUUACCAGGAGUGAAAUAAAUCGCGGAAGGAAGUCGUUGCUACCAUGACAAACAUUGUUUCCGCCGAUACAGCGAUGUGGCAAGGC